AGUGAACGCUGGCGGUAGGCCUAACACAUGCAAGUCGAACGGCAGCACAGUAAGAGCUUGCUCUUACGGGUGGCGAGUGGCGGACGGGUGAGGAAUACAUCGGAAUCUACUUUUUCGUGGGGGAUAACGUAGGGAAACUUACGCUAAUACCGCAUACGACCUACGGGUGAAAGCAGGGGAUCUUCGGACCUUGCGCGAUUGAAUGAGCCGAUGUCGGAUUAGCUAGUUGGCGGGGUAAAGGCCCACCAAGGCGACGAUCCGUAGCUGGUCUGAGAGGAUGAUCAGCCACACUGGAACUGAGACACGGGCCAGACUCCUACGGGAGGCAGCAGUGGGGAAUAUUGGACAAUGGGCGCAAGCCUGAUCCAGCCAUACCGCGUGGGUGAAGAAGGCCUUCGGGUUGUAAAGCCCUUUUGUUGGGAAAGAAAAGCAGCAGGUUAAUACCCCGCUGUUCUGACGGUACCCAAAGAAUAAGCACCGGCGAACUUCGU
RNAcentral lists this ribosomal RNA (491 nucleotides) under uncultured bacterium. RNAcentral describes it as "partial 16S ribosomal RNA". It matches the Rfam family "Bacterial small subunit ribosomal RNA", at positions 29 to 506 of the family's 1533-position model. The record is from RNAcentral.